Oryza sativa Japonica Group (Japanese rice) is the source of this 2182-nucleotide non-coding RNA. The record is from RefSeq and is a predicted model, not a curated record. NCBI's taxonomy places the organism in Eukaryota, Viridiplantae, Streptophyta, Magnoliopsida, Poales, Poaceae.
UCGCCCACACGCGCGGCCGGAGACCCCGGAAUCCCAAUCGGAUCGCGAGGAAAGCCACUGAGAGAGUGUGGAUGGCUCCCUCCUUGCUCGCCUCGGCGGCGAGCCAAAUCCUCGCCGCUCCCCGCCGGGGAGGCCGCGGCCGGCGGCGUCUGGUCAUCGCCUGCUCCGCCGGUGCCGGUGCUCCUCCCAAGCUGGUGACUUUCCUCGGGAAGGGCGGCUCCGGGAAGACCACCGCGGCCGCCGUCGCCGCUCAGUAUUAUGCAAGUGAAGGCUUGAAGACAUGCUUGGUCAUACAGUCCCAAGAUCCCACCGCAGAGCAAUUGAUGGGUUGUAAGAUCGGUAACUCGCUGACCGAGUGCGCUGCCAAUCUUUCCACCAUGAAGCUGGAGACUAGUAAAAUGCUGCUUGAACCCCUUGACCGGCUAAAGAAAGUGGACUCGCAGAUCAAUCUUACUCAAGGAGUCCUUGAGGCGGUUGUAGGGGAGGAGCUUGGAGUCUUACCCGGAAUGGACUCGGUCUGUUCAGUGUUAGCUCUUCAGAAGCUGCUUAACUUCUUUUCAACUCAAAGGAAUAGUUCACAAGAGGAAUUUGAUGUGGUAGUGUAUGAUUGCAACAAUACAGAGGAAAUUCUACGGCUAAUUGGUGCUACUGAGAGAGCAAGGUCUUACUUGAGGUAUGUGAAGGAUCUAGCAGAAAAGACUGACAUAGGAAGACUGGCUUCUCCUUCCGCGAUGAGACUAAUAUACGAUUCUGCAAGGCCAAAUGGUAAAACUAGUGAAGGAAGACUGAGUUCAGAGUUAUGGAAUGAUAUUGAACAACUUAUUCAGAGAAUAUCGGUUUGGUUUGCCGAUCCCUCAAAAUUUGCAUGCUUCCUCAUCAUGGACCCUAGAAGAUCAAUCUCUGUAUCUUCUGCAUUGCGAUACUGGGGAUGUACAACUCAAGCUGGUGGAAAUAUAUGUGGAGCAUUUGGUUAUACCGAACAGCGUUUCGAAAUUCACCAAGGAGUUGCAGAGAAGUUUUUGCCGAUGACUUUCUCGUUUCUGCCAUUUCUGCCAACUGAUUCUUCAGCAGAUUGGAGCAGAGUGCUGAAUUCUUUGAGCCAAAAUGCAAAAGAUUUACUGAGGAAUACAAGCAACAAAGUAUACCCUUCAGUUAGUUUUGAUUCUGUUCAGAAAUCGGUGACCCUUUUCAUGCCGGGCUUUGAUAAGUCUGAAAUCAAACUAUAUCAAUAUAGAGGUGGAUCAGAACUACUGAUAGAAGCCGGCGACCAGAGGCGCGUCGUAAAGCUGCCGCCGGCGAUGCAGGGCAAAGUUGGUGGCGCCAAGUUCGUCGACAGGAACCUCAUUGUUACCAUCCGGUAGCAGUGCGGACCAGCAGUUGUGUAAAAUCUGUCAGAAGAGACCCAAACUGUUAUAAUAAAUCGGAAAAGCGAUGGGACUUGAGCUGCCCCCUCUGUUCAAUGAUCAGUGCACAACUGCGCAGCAACUGGGAUCUCAAUAAUGGUACAAGAUGAAAAUUGACAGUAAACUUAUUCAAGUCAGGUUGUCCUCUGUUUGAUUUGUGUGCAGAACCGAAGUUCUGAGCCACGUUACCAAGAAAAAUGAUAUGGUGGACAAACUUGAUAAAGUGAUACGCAUGCUAAUGUAGAGGACUACAUCCGACAUGGGUUGACCAUGAUCUCGCAAACAAACAACGAACAAGGAAUGGAACAAUGGUAUUGGUAGUUGAUAGUCUAUAAAGAAAAUAAUCUAGUCCAACUUGCUAGAUACAACCUUCUACUGUUCUACAUACUAGCACGAGACAAACCACUGCAUGCACCAACCACCAAACACUGAUCCAUUUCAACCAUCAUGUCCUUGCCAACCCUGGAUAAGUUCUCUGAAAAUUCGUUUACUAACUUCAAUUUCUUAAUUUGCUAAGAGUAGUAGUACUACCUAAGAAACAAGGUGCAAAAAAUACGACAAAAACAAAGACAUGAAAAGGUAGCCGGAUAGUAAAUGCUAAUGAACAACUACUAGAUGAUCAAAGAUAUUCAGAGAAUCAGAGUGAUGACCGUAAAAAGAGGUGCCAACUUCUGAAGAGCAUCAAGCUAAGCUUCCAUAAACUCUUUUACAUGGUACUGAUACUGAUCAGUGAUCACUAAUCACUACGCACACCAAAGGAAGUAAAAUAAAAAAAAAAA